This is an RNA transcript of Venturia canescens, 2135 nucleotides long. It is a transcript of the gene named Mitogen-activated protein kinase rl, with no coding region annotated. The record is from RefSeq and is a predicted model, not a curated record. The transcript is spliced from 9 exons. NCBI's taxonomy places the organism in Eukaryota, Metazoa, Arthropoda, Insecta, Hymenoptera, Ichneumonidae.
GACAGCCGUGUGUAGUUGUAUUUCGUGUCAGAACAGAACACUAGUAAACUGUGUAGCUUGUAAUAACUAAUAAAUUAAAUCGGUUUGGCUGGUGAGUUUGUCGGUGUCGGGGAAAUUGCAUGUUGUGUCGGGACACAGGUCGAAAACUUCAAUCACAAAAUAGUUGUCGAAAUGGCCAGUGAAAGUUCAGCAAGUGUUAUUCCAAGGGCUGAAGUGGUGCGUGGACAGGUGUUUGAGGUUGGUCCGCGCUACACGAAUUUAGCAUACAUGGGCGAGGGGGCAUAUGGAAUGGUUGUAUCCGCCUACGACAACGUGACAAAGACAAAAGUAGCAAUUAAAAAAAUAUCUCCUUUCGAGCAUCAAACAUACAGCCAAAGGACUCUACGGGAAAUCAAGAUAUUAACGAGAUUCAAGCAUGAGAACAUUAUCGAUAUAAGAGAUAUUUUGAGGGCUCCUUCGAUUGACCAAAUGAGAGAUGUAUAUAUCGUUCAAUGUUUGAUGGAAACUGAUCUGUAUAAGUUAUUAAAAACGCAGGCUAUAAGCAACGACCACAUAUGUUACUUCUUGUACCAAAUACUUCGUGGUCUAAAGUACAUACACUCCGCAAAUGUGUUACACAGAGACCUUAAGCCCAGCAAUCUUCUUUUGAAUACGACAUGUGAUUUGAAGAUUUGUGACUUUGGUCUGGCGCGGGUUGCUGAUCCUGAUCAUAACCAUGCCGGUUUUCUUACGGAAUACGUCGCUACAAGAUGGUAUAGGGCUCCAGAAAUAAUGCUCAAUUCCAAGGGAUACACAAAAUCCAUAGAUAUUUGGUCAGUGGGCUGCAUUCUUGCUGAAAUGUUAUCACGACGAGCAAUAUUCCCCGGGAAGCAUUAUCUUGACCAACUAAAUCACAUUCUUGGCGUUCUGGGAUCACCAUCAUCUGAGGAUUUGGAAUGUAUUAUAAAUGAGAAGGCACGCAGCUACCUUCAAUCAUUGCCGUAUAAACCAAAGGUGCCGUGGACGAGUUUAUUUCCGAAGGCAGAGGCCCGGGCUCUCGAUCUUCUCGAUAAAAUGUUGACUUUUAAUCCCAACAAACGGAUUGUAGUAGAAGACGCCUUGGCACAUCCUUAUCUAGAACAGUAUUAUGAUCCAGCCGAUGAGCCCGUGGCUGAAGAGCCCUUUAAAUUUGAUAUGGAGUUGGACAACCUGCCAAAAGAGAUUCUAAAAAAAUACAUAUUCGAGGAAACGGCACAUUUUUCGCAUAAACAAGAGAAUACUAUGUAAUGGUCUGGAACGCGUGCAACGAUAUAUUUUUCAACUUUAUGCGAAGAUAUCUCCAACUAGUUCUGGUAAGCCCAAAGCAUUAAGUACUUUUUCAACGAUAAUUUUAGGUUCGUCAGUAAUAUCAUUCGGCAAACCUGACAGUGACAAGUCUGAAUUUUUCGAAUCAGUUUCAACGCAACUAACGCAAGCAUUAACGCUAUCAAGUUUUGUAGUUAUCGCAGCAUUGUCCAGACAUGUUUUCGUCUCAAGAUUUUCUAAACGUGUGCGGAAGUGUGAAACUGGAGGGGAGAAUUGUCCCCUCGAAACUGACGAUUAUACGGUGUCACAUUGUCGAAGCCGAGUUACAAGAUAAAAUGAGUGGAGCUCAAUGUCAAGUUCUGCAAACGAGAAAUAAAUAAUAUAUCGGAAGGUAUUGCUGGAGAGUGAAACCGCGACUACAUUGUCCUUGGUUUUCAUCAUCAAACGUCAAAAAACAAUACAAACAUCGUCCCACCACAUGAGUUAUUAAGUACACACGAAGAAGAACAAAGCACAAAUAUAGCUAGUUUAAGUCCAAAUGUUGUAUGUGAAAAUGUAUUAAUGAAGUGACUGAAAACAUUGAUAAACGUUUUUUUUCUCCGGACUACUGUAAGUUUGUAAAAAGGACAAUUUGUGAUCACUUCAAAAGAAAAUUCUGUCUUUAUCGACAAACUAAAUUUCAUUGUUUACUCAACGAUUCGUACUCUUUCGAAGCUCUUUCUUCUCUGUUAUAGUCCUUGAUUAAUUAUUCAAGCUAUUAUAGUUUUUACGGAAUUAUUUUUAUGGUGGAACUUUUUUCACUUAUAUUGAGUUCAUAAUAAAAGAACAAACAGUAGAAAGAAAAUGUUAAA